AGAGUUUGAUCAUGGCUCAGGACGAACGCCGGCGGCGUGCUUAACACAUGCAAGUCGAACGGAAAGGCCCUUCGGGGUGCUCGAGUGGCGAACGGGUGAGUGACACGUGGGUGAUCUGCCCUGCACUUUGGGAUAAGCCUGGGAAACUGGGUCUAAUACCGAAUAGGACUGCGCUCUUCAUGGGGUGUGGUGGAAAGCUUUUGCGGUGUGGGAUGGGCCCGCGGCCUAUCAGCUUGUUGGUGGGGUAAUGGCCUACCAAGGCGACGACGGGUAGCCGGCCUGAGAGGGUGACCGGCCACACUGGGACUGAGAUACGGCCCAGACUCCUACGGGAGGCAGCAGUGGGGAAUAUUGCACAAUGGGCGCAAGCCUGAUGCAGCGACGCCGCGUGAGGGAUGACGGCCUUCGGGUUGUAAACCUCUUUCAGCACAGACGAAGCGCGAGUGACGGUAUGUGCAGAAGAAGGACCGGCCAACUACGUGCCAGCAGCCGCGGUAAUACGUAGGGUCCGAGCGUUGUCCGGAAUUACUGGGCGUAAAGAGCUCGUAGGUGGUUUGUCGCGUUGUUCGUGAAAACUCACAGCUUAACUGUGGGCGUGCGGGCGAUACGGGCAGACUGGAGUACUGCAGGGGAGACUGGAAUUCCUGGUGUAGCGGUGGAAUGCGCAGAUAUCAGGAGGAACACCGGUGGCGAAGACGGGUCUCUGGGCAGUAACUGACGCUGAGGAGCGAAAGCGUGGGGAGCGAACAGGAUUAGAUACCCUGGUAGUCC
RNAcentral lists this ribosomal RNA (771 nucleotides) under uncultured bacterium. Its description in RNAcentral is "bacterial SSU rRNA". It matches the Rfam family "Bacterial small subunit ribosomal RNA", at positions 8 to 796 of the family's 1533-position model. The record is from RNAcentral.